This 530-nucleotide ribosomal RNA is filed under the name Boophis madagascariensis (Madagascar bright-eyed frog). Its description in RNAcentral is "partial 16S ribosomal RNA". It matches the Rfam family "Bacterial large subunit ribosomal RNA", at positions 1853 to 2597 of the family's 2925-position model. Lineage: Eukaryota; Metazoa; Chordata; Amphibia; Anura; Mantellidae. The record is from RNAcentral.
UCCAGCCUGCCCGGUGACAAGAUUUAACGGCCGCGGUACCCUAACCGUGCGAAGGUAGCAUAAUCACUUGUUCUUUAAAUGAGGACUCGUAUCAACGGCAUCACGAGGAUCCUACUGUCUCCCCCCUCUAAUCGGUGAAACUGAUCUCUCCGUGAAGAAGCGGAGAUGUACAUAUAAGACGAGAAGACCCCAUGGAGCUUUAAACCCAACAACACCCGCCCCCCUCCAAAUCCUAUUAUUUACCCGGUGAUUGUUUGUUUGGUUUUAGGUUGGGGUGACCGCGGAGUAUAAGAUAUCCUCCAUGAAAAAAAGCUAACUGCCCUUAUUAGAGAAAGACACUUCCAAAAAAUAAUAAAUUAAUUUUAAAUGAUCCGACAUUCGAUCAACGAACCAAGUUACCCUGGGGAUAACAGCGCAAUCCGCCCCGAGAGCCCCUAUCGACAGGCGGGUUUACGACCUCGAUGUUGGAUCAGGGUAUCCCAGUGGUGCAGCAGCUACUAAAGGUUCGUUUGUUCAACGAUUAAAACCCU